Molecule: long non-coding RNA, 847 nt
Organism: Chinchilla lanigera (long-tailed chinchilla)
Lineage: Eukaryota; Metazoa; Chordata; Mammalia; Rodentia; Chinchillidae
Exons: 2
Source: RefSeq, a predicted model, not a curated record
GCUGGGCUUGAACUUGCCAUCCUCCUUCCUCAGCCUCCCCAAAUACUGGGAUUACAAGUGUAUACCACUACACAUGGCUCAGAAAGGACAUCCUAUGCUUUUGUAUUAAUUGUCCUUUAAAUGGAUUUUACAAUUCCCUCAUCAGUGUAGUCCUCAGUAUGAAAAUCUCUGAACUGUACAACUUUACCAGUUGAACUUGGGUAUGUGCCUGAUGUGUGGACCUGUAGGAUAAACCUAGGAAAACAAGCACCUUCUCAUUCUUCCCCAAAGAGGGCUGACUGUAAAACUAAGUGAAAGGCUCUGGAGAGAGUGAAAUGCUUCCACUCAUUAUGGAAGUUUGUUCACUGCACAAGUGUAUCUGACAGUAUAAAUCCAGGCAGGGAGAGGUGCAGAAGUCUCUCCAGAGACCUUGUGAGGUUCUUGGUAACAGGUGGAGGUUCUGACAGCCCAGUAUUGUGCAACUGUUUUCAGGACUGCAGGUCUGAGGUGAACUUGCUCAUUGUGAUUAUGGACCAAUGUAUAGGUUUUGUCCUAAUGAAACCUGAGGUGUGCAGUUUGAGAUGAGAAAAAUAACAUGAAUCAUACACUAAUUGUCUUGCACAUAGGUUUUCCCACAAGGGACUUUUCCCGACAUUGGCAGGUGAGAUGCAAAACAGGACAGAAAAAGGAGGGAGCUCAACACAGAGGCGGCGCCCGUGGAGUCCACCACUGAGGAUGAAGACAGUAAGGCACUCCAGGAGGUGUCCACAGAGUGACCCUGAACUGCCUCUGGUGACUGCCAAAUUUUAUUUUGGCAAUGUCUGUAGAAUAACUAUUUCCUUACAUUAAAAUCUAUAAAAUUCAUAAA